Molecule: ribosomal RNA, 465 nt
Filed under: Vreelandella stevensii
Lineage: Bacteria; Pseudomonadati; Pseudomonadota; Gammaproteobacteria; Oceanospirillales; Halomonadaceae
Description: partial 16S ribosomal RNA
Rfam family: Bacterial small subunit ribosomal RNA
Source: RNAcentral
CCUACGGGUGGCUGCAGUGGGGAAUAUUGGACAAUGGGCGAAAGCCUGAUCCAGCCAUGCCGCGUGUGUGAAGAAGGCCUUCGGGUUGUAAAGCACUUUCAGUGGGGAAGAAAGCCUUGGGGCUAAUACCCUCGAGGAAGGACAUCACCCACAGAAGAAGCACCGGCUAACUCCGUGCCAGCAGCCGCGGUAAUACGUAGGGUGCGAGCGUUAAUCGGAAUUACUGGGCGUAAAGCGCGCGUAGGCGGUCUGAUAAGCCGGUUGUGAAAGCCCCGGGCUCAACCUGGGAACGGCAUCCGGAACUGUCAGGCUAGAGUGCAGGAGAGGAAGGUAGAAUUCCCGGUGUAGCGGUGAAAUGCGUAGAGAUCGGGAGGAAUACCAGUGGCGAAGGCGGCCUUCUGGACUGACACUGACGCUGAGGUGCGAAAGCGUGGGUAGCAAACAGGAUUAGAUACCCGGGUAGUC